Molecule: long non-coding RNA, 450 nt
Filed under: Capsicum annuum
Lineage: Eukaryota; Viridiplantae; Streptophyta; Magnoliopsida; Solanales; Solanaceae
Description: long non-coding RNA (CANN_LNC001514)
Source: RNAcentral
UGAAACAUUUCCAAAUUUAGAUACAGAUCCAUUAACAUUCUGAAAUUCAGCCUACAAAAAAAAAGACUAAAAGUUAAUCUCUGCAUUUUUUAGUAACAUCCAUAAUGUGUCAACUAUAAGAUAUAUAGUCAGGAGAGUUCAAAACGUUAUCUGUAAUGGUCAAUUUCAGAGUUCGGAUAGAACAAGUACUUUUCCAUAGAGAUAAGCGACAUAAAUGACCAAAUUGGAAAAACAUGGCUCAUGAGGCAGAAAGUCGAAGAAGGAGCAGACUCUAGACAGACACCUGCAGCUGUCAAUUUGUCAAUUCAAAUGGAUCUAGGAGCUCAAACACUUUCACUUGGCCAUCUGAAUACGCAGCAACCUAUGGAAAGAAAAUAGUGAAAUAUGUACAAUGCUUGGGUCCUUUUGAUGGAUCGGUCGGGUCAGGUUUGGGUUUUAUUUAAAAACGGG